GACAGUGGGGCCAAGCGUUAGGCGGAAUCACUGGGCUUAAAGCGCGUGUAGGUGGCGGCCUAAGUACGUUGUGAAAUCCUGCGGCUCAACCGCAGAACUGCUUGGUAUACUGGGUCGCUUGAGCCAUCCAGGGGCAACUGGAACAAGCGGUGGAGCGGUGAAAUGCGUAGAUAUCGCUUGGAACGCCAAAGGUGAAAACAGGUUGCUGGGGAUGCGCUGACACUGAGACGCGAAAGCCAGGGGAGCGAACGGG
This 253-nucleotide ribosomal RNA is filed under the name uncultured bacterium. Its description in RNAcentral is "partial 16S ribosomal RNA". It matches the Rfam family "Bacterial small subunit ribosomal RNA", at positions 524 to 776 of the family's 1533-position model. The record is from RNAcentral.